CUCGUAGUUGGAUCUCGGUGCCGGUCUGGCGGUCCGCCUCGCCGCGGUCUCACUGCCAGUCCCGGAGCCAUCCCGCCGGCCUUCCCUCGGUGCUCUUUACCGAGUGUCUUGGGUGACCGGAACGUUUACUUUGAACAAAUUAGAGUGCUCCAAGCAGGCGCGUCCCGCCCGCAUAGCCCAGCAUGGAAUAAUGGAAUAGGACCUCGGUUCUAUUUUGUUGGUUUUCGGAACCCGAGGUAAUGAUUAAUAGGGACAGACGGGGGCAUUCGUAUUGGGACGCUAGAGGUGAAAUUCUUGGACCGUCGCAAGACGAACUACUGCGAAAGCAUUUGCCAAGAAUGUUUUCAUUAAUCAAGAACGAAAGUUAUAGGUUCGAAAGCGAUCAAAUACCGCCCUAGUUCUAACCAUAAACGA
Molecule: ribosomal RNA, 414 nt
Filed under: Craterostigmus tasmanianus
Lineage: Eukaryota; Metazoa; Arthropoda; Chilopoda; Craterostigmomorpha; Craterostigmidae
Description: SSU rRNA
Rfam family: Eukaryotic small subunit ribosomal RNA
Source: RNAcentral